Long non-coding RNA from Homarus americanus (American lobster), 1632 nucleotides. RefSeq lists it as uncharacterized. NCBI's taxonomy places the organism in Eukaryota, Metazoa, Arthropoda, Malacostraca, Decapoda, Nephropidae. The transcript is spliced from 2 exons. The record is from RefSeq and is a predicted model, not a curated record.
AUUUCCUUCAAAACAAAAGGAAAUAUUCUACAACAACAACAACAUUAAGCAACAAGUUUAUAAUCAUUUUACCAAACCUGACAUAUAACACACAGGAAUGAAUGCUACUAUCUGCCAGUAUAACAUCUCCCACCUCCUUUCUUUGUAUUUCACUUGAAUCAGUUUGUACACAACACAGACGAUAUAUAUAACAGUAGAAGAGCUGACGGAACGCUAAGUCAUGAGGCCAUCACCAGACUGUAAUUCUUCUGCCAGAUGUCUGUGAGGGAUAUUUUGCUGAUUUUUUUUUAAUACGGUACGACAGAUGAUAUAUCCAGGGUGAAUAGACCACAGGUUCAAACUGACUGCCUUGGUGUAUUAAUCAAUCAAGCCAUGUGCGCUGAUUAAGCAGAUUGAGUAUUGCUUUUGAAGACAUAUUCUGGACUUAGCUUCCUUGUCACACUGCCAUCACCAAGUAACUGAACUUUGCAGCGAGGAUGACAAUGAACAGAAUGAUCUAUGCAAAAAAAAAAUAUAUAUAUCCACUAAAACUGCUUAAGAAAUAGUCCUUUAUUCUUGUACAGUAUCCAACAUUUCAAGUGUUACUCGACUGUAUUAGUAAUUCAGACUUUUUCGACAUUUAAUCGGUCAUCUGAAGCUACCCAGAGUAACAUUCAAUUAUAAAUAUAACUAAAAAUAACAAAGUAAACACAAGCAACAAAUAAAUAAAUUACACAGCUAAAAAUUAAUUUGGGUAAAAAAAAAUUCAAAUAAAAAUGACAUUCAAGCGACUGAUUAUAGAGAUAAAUUAUAAAAGAAAAUAAUAUAAAUAAUCCACUAACACUAUAUUUUCAUUGUUAAGAACCUAACCUAACCAAAAAUGACCACAAGAUUAUUAGGUUAGAUUUGGUUUUAUUUGGGUUAGGUUAAAAUAUAUUAAAAUUGGUUAGGUUGGUUAGAAUUACCUUUGGCUAGGUUAGUUUGGGUAAUUUUAAUAUUUUAGGAGACAGGACAGGUCAAAUAAGGCUAAACUAUAUCAAGAACUGGUCAAAUAAGGUCAAAUUAUAAAAAAACCCAGGUGAAAUAAGGUCAAACUAUAUAAAACAGGUCAAAUAAGGUCAAAUAAGAUCAAACUAUAUCAAGAACAGGUCAAAUAACACAAACCCAGAAAGAACUUGACCUUAAUAUACACGUAAACAACAUAACACUAACCCAUUAUACAUAACUCAUCUCCCUCGCUAAAUAAUACCCCCAAAACACACUCUUUCACAUCAUAUACUUAUUUAAUCCCUCAAUAUACAAAUAAAUAAUUAUGUAUUCACUCAAAAAGGUCAAUUAUUAUACAAGCACAACAAGUCACCAUUCGUAUCUCAUCUACAACUACGUAACUUUAUUCUAGUUUUAAAAUUAAUUCAGGUUUAAUUAGUGGUUUUAAUAUACGUUUUAGGACCUUACCUGAUUGUUUAUCACAUGGUAAGGGGAGAGAAAAAACUUGAAUGGGAAAUUUGGUCUGAGUUGUGAGGAGUGAUCAGCUGUCCUCCUAAACACCACAAACAACCUAAAGAAACUAAUUUAAUGGUGAUAACUUUUUUUUUUCAUUAUUCAUGUAUCUAACGCACAGUUCUCUUAUUUAAAUAUAUAAUUUUAUAUAUA